CUGGGACUCGCGGCUCUCGAGCGAGUAAGGAAGAGGCAGGCGGCACGAACCACCUGGCUCAAAGCGGGCGAUGCCAAGACAGCAUUUUUCCAGGCCAAGAUCAACUCUCGCAGAAGAAAGAACUUCAUCCACUGUUUGGAGUCAGAGUGCAAACAAGCCACAGAUCACAAAGAGAAGGCAGAAAUGAUCCAUGACCAUUUCACUGCGCUCCUGGGCAGCAAGGCGAGAAGGACGAAGACGAUCGACUGGGAUAGAAUCCAGCUGCCCAGUCUG
This 273-nucleotide ribosomal RNA is filed under the name Triticum aestivum (bread wheat). RNAcentral's name for it is "partial small subunit ribosomal RNA". Lineage: Eukaryota; Viridiplantae; Streptophyta; Magnoliopsida; Poales; Poaceae. The record is from RNAcentral.